UAAACGACUCUCGGCAACGGAUAUCUCGGCUCUCGCAUCGAUGAAGAANNNNNCGAAAUGCGAUACUUGGUGUGAAUUGCAGAAUCCCGUGAAYCAUCGAGUUUUUGAACGCAAGUUGCGCCCGAAGCCAUUAGGUUGAGGGCACGUCUGCCUGGGCGUCUCAC
This 164-nucleotide ribosomal RNA is filed under the name Symplocos groffii. Its description in RNAcentral is "5.8S ribosomal RNA". It matches the Rfam family "5.8S ribosomal RNA". From Rfam's summary of the family: 5.8S ribosomal RNA (5.8S rRNA) is a component of the large subunit of the eukaryotic ribosome. Lineage: Eukaryota; Viridiplantae; Streptophyta; Magnoliopsida; Ericales; Symplocaceae. The record is from RNAcentral.